This 367-nucleotide small RNA is filed under the name Histoplasma capsulatum var. duboisii H88. Its description in RNAcentral is "Histoplasma capsulatum H88 hypothetical RNA". Lineage: Eukaryota; Fungi; Ascomycota; Eurotiomycetes; Onygenales; Ajellomycetaceae. The record is from RNAcentral.
CUAGGUUCAAAUAUAUAUGGGUUGCCUCUUCAUGCGUUCACGAGGACAAAGUGAUGGAGAGGAUUGUUUGCUUGAGCUGGGAAGGGCUAGGUUGGUGGUGUUAUUUUUGAGAUAUUUCUCUCUCUCACUCUCUCUCUCUCUCUCGGAGGCAAGCAGCCAGGUAAGGCAACAGGCAACAGGCAAACAGGCAGGAUGCUGCAGCUGUUCCUGCACGGGCGUUGGCCGCCCCUCUCCGCCUCCCCCGGAAGAAAGGAAAAGCAACAAGCCCGCAGAGGGCAGCAAGCAGUCGAAAACCUAUUUACUAUUUUAUUCUGUUCCUCAAUUCUCUCCUUCACUUCUUCACAUCUUCGUACAAACAUGGACAGGC